Molecule: transfer RNA, 72 nt
Filed under: Ovis aries (sheep)
Lineage: Eukaryota; Metazoa; Chordata; Mammalia; Artiodactyla; Bovidae
Rfam family: tRNA
About the family: Transfer RNA (tRNA) molecules are approximately 80 nucleotides in length. Their secondary structure includes four short double-helical elements and three loops (D, anti-codon, and T loops).
Source: Rfam by way of RNAcentral
UCCCUGGAGGCUCAGACGAUGAAGCGUCUGCCUGCAAUGCAGGAGACCCAGGUUUGAUCCCUGGGUUGGGAA